Molecule: ribosomal RNA, 468 nt
Filed under: uncultured bacterium
Lineage: Bacteria
Description: partial 16S ribosomal RNA
Rfam family: Bacterial small subunit ribosomal RNA
Source: RNAcentral
GACGAACGCUGGCGGCGUGCUUAACACAUGCAAGUCGAACGGAAAGGCCCUGCUUUUGUGGGGUGCUCGAGUGGCGAACGGGUGAGUAACACGUGAGUAACCUGCCCUUGACUUUGGGAUAACUUCAGGAAACUGGGGCUAAUACCGGAUAGGAGCUCCUGCUGCACGGUGGGGGUUGGAAAGUUUCGGCGGUUGGGGAUGGACUCGCGGCUUAUCAGCUUGUUGGUGGGGUAGUGGCUUACCAAGGCUUUGACGGGUAGCCGGCCUGAGAGGGUGACCGGCCACAUUGGGACUGCGAUACGGCCCAGACUCCUACGGGAGGCAGCAGUGGGGAGUAUUGCACAGUGGGCGGAAGCCUGAUGCAGCGGCGCCGCGUGCGGGAUGACGGCCUUCGGGUUGUAAACCGCUUUCGCCUGUGACGAAGCGUGAGUGACGGUAAUGGGUAAAGAAGCACCGGCUAACUACGUG